CNGGAUAAAGUGUGAACUCCUCAGUGGG
Molecule: non-coding RNA, 28 nt
Filed under: Rattus norvegicus (Norway rat)
Lineage: Eukaryota; Metazoa; Chordata; Mammalia; Rodentia; Muridae
Source: RNAcentral